ACCAGAGGCAGGACCUGAGGCCAGGGCAAGCUGGGUGGGGGGUGGUGGAGCUCCUGCUUGAUUCUCUCACCUGCCCCUCUUUGGGAGCAGGUUAUGUCCCUGGCCUUUCAGACCUGAGCAGAGAGGGGAUUUCAAGUCAGGUGGCACCUGUACAGUCUACGGAAUAAGCGCUGUCCUGAAGCUAAUGAGACACUUUGUUUACUGAACCAUGUUUCCUGGAAUAUGAUGCUGAGCAGAGACUGGCCUAUGUGAUCAACUGAUGGACUCACAGAAAGAACAAUUUUAUAACCUGGGAAAGAAUGGGACUGAGCUGACCUCUCCGUAUGUCCUGGGGAGAUUUUAGAGGAUGCACAGAAACACAUGAUUGUCUGGAGUUAGCCCCAUCGCAGGCUGCUGAGAAAGACAGCUGCAGACUAUCUUGAGCUAAAAUCACAAUGUUAGCUCACCAAGAGACACUUGCUGCCAACCCAGCUGGCCUGAGAUCUGGAAUUCACACUGCCUCUGUGGCAGACAUUGGCCCACCUGUUUUCUCUGGCUCAGAGUGCAAGGAUUCAUCACUUAGCUGCCCUCAAUGGGACUAAGAAGAUAAUACAAAGCGGUUGGAGGACGAGGGUUGCACAGCUCAAAGGGCUGAGUUUACAGGUUAAUAAAAAUAUCCAAUGAGCCUUUACUCUCUAUGCCAAGCACCACUUGGCAUUUUCUAUUUCUCAUAAAAAUCUUGGAGACAAGAUGGACUCAGCAC
This 742-nucleotide long non-coding RNA is filed under the name Callithrix jacchus (white-tufted-ear marmoset). Its description in RNAcentral is "lncRNA (ENSCJAG00000054686.2)". Lineage: Eukaryota; Metazoa; Chordata; Mammalia; Primates; Cebidae. The record is from RNAcentral.